This 216-nucleotide ribosomal RNA is filed under the name Campeiostachys nutans. Its description in RNAcentral is "Elymus nutans partial small subunit ribosomal RNA". It matches the Rfam family "Eukaryotic small subunit ribosomal RNA", at positions 644 to 864 of the family's 1831-position model. Lineage: Eukaryota; Viridiplantae; Streptophyta; Magnoliopsida; Poales; Poaceae. The record is from RNAcentral.
GGGUUAGUAGGUUGGUCAUGCCUCUGGUAUGUACUGGUCUCACUGAUUCCUCCUUCCUGAUGAGCCGUAAUGCCACUAAUUUGGUGUUGCGGGGAGUUUGGACUGUUACUUUGAAAAAAUUAGAGUGUUUAAAGCAAGCUAACGCUUGAACACAUUAGCAUGGAAUAAUGAAAUUGGACGUUUGAUUCUAUUUUGUUGGUUUCUAGGAUCGACGUA